Molecule: transfer RNA, 73 nt
Filed under: Rattus norvegicus (Norway rat)
Lineage: Eukaryota; Metazoa; Chordata; Mammalia; Rodentia; Muridae
Rfam family: tRNA
About the family: Transfer RNA (tRNA) molecules are approximately 80 nucleotides in length. Their secondary structure includes four short double-helical elements and three loops (D, anti-codon, and T loops). Further hydrogen bonds mediate the characteristic L-shaped molecular structure. tRNAs have two regions of fundamental functional importance: the anti-codon, which is responsible for specific mRNA codon recognition, and the 3' end, to which the tRNAs corresponding amino acid is attached (by aminoacyl-tRNA synthetases). tRNAs cope with the degeneracy of the genetic code in two manners: having more than one tRNA (with a specific anti-codon) for a particular amino acid; and 'wobble' base-pairing, i.e. permitting non-standard base-pairing at the 3rd anti-codon position.
Source: Rfam by way of RNAcentral
UGGGAUGUAACUCAGUUGAUAGAGUGCUUGCCGGGUAUACAUGAAGCCCUGGGUUCAAUUCCUAGCACCAUAU